UACAGAGACUUAUUCCGCUUC
This 21-nucleotide unclassified non-coding RNA is filed under the name Dictyostelium discoideum. The record is from RNAcentral. Lineage: Eukaryota; Evosea; Eumycetozoa; Dictyosteliales; Dictyosteliaceae.